AAAACUUCCUCCAAAUCCAUUUGCACGAGAGUUGCUAGCAUCUUCUCUUACCAUAGAGUAAAUCUCGUGUUUUGAGAUUGGGCGAUAGCUCCUGCGUUCAAGCACCAGACGAGCAAUAAGUUUCGGAAGAAAAUAUGUAGGUGCCGCUCGAGAGACCAGGUAACGAAAAUGCAGCAACAUUUCUUCCAGAUCCAUAAUUUUAAUCUUUUCAAGGUCACUUCAACUAAAACUUUAAUACCGACUAGAAUUUGGGUCAAACUACAGUACUAGUUCCUACUCACUCGGAGAGUACUCUGCUCUAGUCCAACAAUCUGCCUUAAAAAGUACAUAACUUUUUAUCCACAAUUCCAAUUUGAGAUUUGCCUUUUUACGUUGAACUUCAAACUAAUCGUCUUUUUAAUGUGGAAGAUCUCUUUACAAAACUUUAUGCUCUAACUUGUUUACGUACUCUCCACAUAAGUUCCUCAUUUCGCUUCCACAUCUUGUACGUAAUCCGUC
RNAcentral lists this long non-coding RNA (498 nucleotides) under Olea europaea (common olive). RNAcentral describes it as "long non-coding RNA (OEUR_LNC009003)". The record is from RNAcentral. Lineage: Eukaryota; Viridiplantae; Streptophyta; Magnoliopsida; Lamiales; Oleaceae.